Molecule: ribosomal RNA, 467 nt
Filed under: uncultured bacterium
Lineage: Bacteria
Description: partial 16S ribosomal RNA
Rfam family: Bacterial small subunit ribosomal RNA
Source: RNAcentral
GACGAACGCUGGCGGCGUGCUUAACACAUGCAAGUCGAACGGAAAGGCCCUGCUCUUGUUGCGUGCUCGAGUGGCGAACGGGUGAGUAUAACGUGAGUAACCUGUCCUUGACAUACGGAUAACUUCAGGAAACUGGGGCUAAUACCGGAUAGGAUCUCCUGCAGCAUGGGGGGGGUUGGAAAGUUUCGGCGGUUGAGGAUGGUGUCGCGGCUUAUCAGCUUGUUGGUGGGGUAGUGGCUUACCAAGGCUUCGACGGGUAGCCGGCCUGAGAGGGUGACCGGCCACAGUGGGACAGGGGUACGACCAAGACGCAUACGUGCGGCAGCAGUGGGGACUUGUGCACAAUGGGCGGAGGCCUGAAGCAGGAACGCCGGGUGCGGGAUGACGGCUUUCGGGUUGUAAACCGCGUUCGCCUGUGACGACGCGUGAGUGACGGUAAUGGUCAGAGAAGCACCGCCAACCUACUU